CUGCAUGAAGUUGGAAUUGCUAGUAAUCGCGGAUCAGCAUGCCGCGGUGAAUACGUUCCCUGGCCUUGUACACACCGCCCGUCACACCAUGGGAGCCGGUAAUACCCGAAGUCAGUAGUCUAACCGCAAGGGGGACGCUGCCGAAGGUAGGAUUGGCGACUGGGGUGAAGUCGUAACAAGGUAAC
RNAcentral lists this ribosomal RNA (185 nucleotides) under uncultured bacterium. Its description in RNAcentral is "partial 16S ribosomal RNA". It matches the Rfam family "Bacterial small subunit ribosomal RNA", at positions 1316 to 1500 of the family's 1533-position model. The record is from RNAcentral.